RNAcentral lists this long non-coding RNA (1877 nucleotides) under Anas zonorhyncha (Eastern spot-billed duck). RNAcentral describes it as "lncRNA (ENSAZOG00000002285.1)". The record is from RNAcentral. Lineage: Eukaryota; Metazoa; Chordata; Aves; Anseriformes; Anatidae.
AUGCUCUGCCCACAAGAACAUUUAAUUUACGCUUCUUGGUUAAAGUCAUUCCAUGGCAGGUCCUUGCUGCCACUCCUUCCUCCUCAUGCUUCUCCCCUAAUUCAGCCUGGCUCCUUCCACGGGCACUUCAGGAUAAACCUGCCCUGCGUGGGCUCUCCGUGGGCUGCAGGGGAAGGGAUGCUCCAGUGCCUGCAGCGCCUCUCUCCACCUUCUUCUCUGACCUUGGUGUUCACAGGACUUUUUCCAUACUUGUCCCCCCUUGCUCCUCACUGCCUGCGCAGCAUUCUGCCCUUUAUUAUGCCCUCACAAAGAGGAAAAGCACUCAAGUGCUGAACCGUGCAUACAUUUACACCUUGCCAGGCACAGGUCAUUAGCAGAUGUCCUUAUAGAGAAGGCCCUGACCAGUUUGCUCCUUCCCCUCCCGAUGCAGCGUGGGGUCAGUGACAUCAGACAGCUCCCACUGAGCAGUUGCAGCGCCCAGGGACCACUGGGGCAUUUACAGCUGCAGUUGUUCUGGCAGCUGUCGCUCAUCCUUGGGAUCUGCUCCACAGCGGGCUGAGGCUCCCAGCAAAAAGGAACCCAAAUGAUAUUUUACUGGAAAAAGGCAGGAUAAAACCCAUGUGCUGACUGGGGGGGGUUAAUGCCUGAUGCCUCCUCCUCCAAAUGUGGAAGAUGACAGCAGGAAAAAAACGGUGGUGAAAACUGGACCUGUCCUAAUGCUGGUGGCAAGACAGCCGAGCUGCCCACGUCUGCACACCAAAGGGAAAGAACAUCUCAGGGUGAGAGGGCAGCUGUGCCUAAGCACAGGCAAAAUCUUCAGUCUCUUCUGAAAUUAGUGAUGCUGAUAUAUCCAGUAAGCAGAAUGGUUGCCUCAGUGUCACUGGAGAACAACUAACAAAGCCUUCAGAAGUUCGUACCUCAAUUUUAAAGCUGAGGCUAUUUUAGCUAAUGCCCCCAAGGCGAUUGUCUGGUCAAAUGUCAGUGUUUAUAUUGCUGAAGUAAAUCUCUAUGAGAUCUUUGCAGUUUGGGAACCAUGUUAGUCUCCAGCAUGAACUUCUCAGAUUAUACUGGGUUGUGGAUAUGUUUUUUUUUCCUCCCUCUGCUUGGAACAUAUCUCAAUCUCCCCAUACUCCUGCAAACUAUUGAAAAACUUUGUGUUGUGUCUCAACAACAGUUCCAUUGCUGUGGGAUUUUCCCCCACUAAUUCAUUUAUUCUAGAACAGUAUUUUCAUUGAUGCUGCUUCUGUAUGCUUUCAAUCUUGCAAAUUGGUAAUGUAUUGUUUUAUUUUUAAGGAAAACAUUGCCUGGAAUUUGGUCUCUUACAACUAAUGCCAAACUUCACACUUCAUUUUUAACUCUUUGACCUCCAGGAUUCCUUUUCCUGGUCAUCCCUUUGAGCCUCUUGGUUUUGCUGGUGAUGUUUUUUCUGCCAGUCUCUGCACUGGUUGCUCCUUUGUUUUGGCACAGGACCGCGUGUUACCUGUUGCAGCAGAUUAGCUCUGACAACUGGCUUACAUCUGAGUAACACAUCCCACUGUGCUGAUUGCAUAUUAGUGACCAUUGCGUUUGGAGCCUUACGCAUCAAUUCAUGUGGCUUGAAGGCAUUUUCUUGACUGGCAGACUUUAAAAAGAGCUUUUUCAACCACAACACUAGAGCACUCACUCCUCUGCCAUAUGUGAGUCAUUCUUCCUAGCAGUGGCUUCGUAGUCCUUUUUUUUUUUUUCCUGUCUCUUCUAGUUUGGGACUUCUGUAUUUCUGAGUGUCUAGCUCACAACACCUACAAGGUAGUACCAAAUUUCAUGCACCAUUAAUUCCACUAACAUGCAGAGGCUUGUUAAUUUGAAGAGCUCAAGACAGACACCAAAACUGUGGAAAU